CGGACUUAGUGGCAGACGGCUGAGUAACACGUUGGAACCUGCCCCAUACUCGGGGAUAACUGCCCGAAAGGGUAGCUAAUACCGGAUAGUCCCUCACCUCGGUGAGGGUAAAGAUUUAUCGGUAUGGGAGGGGCCUGCGGCCUAUCAGUUUGUUGGUGGGGUAAAAGCCUACCAAGACGAUGACGGGUAGCUGGUGUGAGAGCAUGACCAGCCAGAAUGGGACUGAGACACGGCCCAUACUCC
Molecule: ribosomal RNA, 243 nt
Filed under: uncultured bacterium
Lineage: Bacteria
Description: partial 16S ribosomal RNA
Rfam family: Bacterial small subunit ribosomal RNA
Source: RNAcentral